UACGAAGGGGGCUAGCGUUGUUCGGAAUCACUGGGCGUAAAGGGCGCGUAGGCGGCCGAUCAAGUCGGGGGUGAAAGCCUGUGGCUCAACCACAGAAUUGCCUUCGAUACUGUUUGGCUUGAGACCGGAAGAGGUUAGUGGAACUGCGAGUGUAGAGGUGAAAUUCGUAGAUAUUCGCAAGAACACCAGUGGCGAAGGCGGCUGACUGGUCCGGUUCUGACGCUGAGGCGCGAAGGCGUGGGGAGCGAACGGG
RNAcentral lists this ribosomal RNA (253 nucleotides) under uncultured bacterium. Its description in RNAcentral is "partial 16S ribosomal RNA". It matches the Rfam family "Bacterial small subunit ribosomal RNA", at positions 524 to 776 of the family's 1533-position model. The record is from RNAcentral.